AUGCCGCCGGCGCCGGCGUACGCCGUCCUCGCUGCAGCAUUCAGGACCAGAAACCCCAUCUGCGUCCCUAGGUGGCUUGCUGUUCUUGGUUCGCGCACGCCAACUGUUCGACAGAAUGCGUUGGAGGUGCUUCCUGAUGCAGCCUUGCCUCCACGCUUCCACCCAAGCAUUGUUCCAAGAGGAUAUCUUCUCGGGUCACCAAGGCUUUGCCAUAGCAGUGCUUCAGAGGAGGAUUCCCUAGAUGUCCGCGUCGGUGAAGUUCUGAGAGUUCUCAAGUCCUGUGCUGCCGAUGCUGACCUCAGCAAAGACCUUCGUCAGUUUGCCGAUGAGAUGGACGAGGACGUUGUUCUGAAAGUCCUCCAGAAGCAGAGGUCCAAUUGGCAGGUCGCGCUGUUGUUCUUCAAUUGGGCUGCCAGGCUGCCUUCGUAUGAGCACGGCCCGAGGACCUACACUGAGAUGCUUGACAUCCUUGGGCGGAUGAAGAAGGUCAGGCUUAUGAGACAGCUCUUCGAUGAGAUUCCUGAACAACGCCGUGGGUUGGUCGUAACGAACAGGAUGUUUGCUGUCUUGUUGAACCGGUAUGCAGGGGCGCACAAGGUGCAAGAAGCGAUCGAGAUAUUCUACAAGAGGAAGGAUUAUGGGUUCGAGGUUGACUUGGUUGGAUUCCAGAUACUUCUGAUGUCGCUCUGUCGGUACAAGCAUGUUGAGGAGGCUGAGGCCCUCUUUCUCCAGAAGAAAGAUGAGUUUCCUCCUGUCAUAAAGAGCUGGAACAUCAUUCUUAAUGGUUGGUGUGUCAAGGGAAGCCUGGCUGAUGCUAAAAGGGUUUGGAACGAGAUCAUUGCAUCUAAACUUAAGCCGGACCUGUUCACAUAUGGUACGUUCAUAAAUGCACUAACCAAAGCUGGCAAACUUAGUACGGCUGUGAAACUAUUCACAAGCAUGUGGGAGAAGGGAAUCAAUCCCGACGUGGCAAUUUGCAACUGUAUCAUUGACCAGUUGUGCUUCAAGAAAAAGAUUCCAGAAGCACUUAAGAUUUUUGGUGAGAUGAAUGACCGUGGUUGUCAAGCAGAUGUGGCCACCUACAACACUUUGAUCAAACACUUCUGUAAGAUAAGGCGGACGGAAAAAGUUUAUGAGCUUUUGGAUGAUAUGGAGAAGAAGGGAUGCUCUCCAAACAACAUGACAUACACCUACAUUCUGAAGACAACUGAGAAACCGAGAGAUGUUAUGAAUUUGAUCCAGAGGAUGGAGGAAUCAGGUUGUAAGUUGGACUCUGAUACGUAUAACUUAAUAUUGAACCUGUAUGUCAGUAUGAAAUAUGAGAAGGGGGUACAGCAAGUAUGGGAGGAGAUGGAGAGGAAUGGAUCAGGUCCAGAUCAGCGAUCAUUUACUAUUAUGGUCCAUGGACUUCAUUCCCAGGGACAGCUGGACCAGGCUUUGCAAUAUUACACGACAAUGAAGUCGAGAGGGAUGACUCCAGAGCCAAGAACCAGGAUAUUGGUGAAAGCAAUACAUAUGAAGAAGGAUGGGCCUGAGACUGAAGAUCGAUCCCCAAGUAUGACUGGGAAAAAUCUAAAAUUGGAUCGUCGAUCAGGACUUUUCCAUGUUCGUAAAUAG
This 1617-nucleotide ribosomal RNA is filed under the name Triticum aestivum (bread wheat). Its description in RNAcentral is "partial small subunit ribosomal RNA". Lineage: Eukaryota; Viridiplantae; Streptophyta; Magnoliopsida; Poales; Poaceae. The record is from RNAcentral.